Molecule: ribosomal RNA, 535 nt
Filed under: uncultured bacterium
Lineage: Bacteria
Description: bacterial SSU rRNA
Rfam family: Bacterial small subunit ribosomal RNA
Source: RNAcentral
AGAGUUUGAUCCUGGCUCAGGACGAACGCUGGCGGCGUGCCUAAUACAUGCAAGUCGAGCGGACCGGAUUGGGGCUUGCCUUGAUUCGGUCAGCGGCGGACGGGUGAGUAACACGUGGGCAACCUGCCCGCAAGACCGGGAUAACUCCGGGAAACCGGAGCUAAUACCGGAUAACACCGAAGACCGCAUGGUCUUCGGUUGAAAGGCGGCCUUUGGGCUGUCACUUGCGGAUGGGCCCGCGGCGCAUUAGCUAGUUGGUGAGGUAACGGCUCACCAAGGCGACGAUGCGUAGCCGGCCUGAGAGGGUGACCGGCCACACUGGGACUGAGACACGGCCCAGACUCCUACGGGAGGCAGCAGUAGGGAAUCUUCCGCGAUGGGCGAAAGCCUGACGGAGCGACGCCGCGUGAGCGAAGAAGGCCUUCGGGUCGUAAAGCUCUGUUGUGAGGGACGAAGGAGCGCCGUUCGAAGAGGGCGGCGCGGUGACGGUACCUCACGAGAAAGCCCCGGCUAACUACGUGCCAGCAGCCGCGGU